UACGAAGGGGGCUAGCGUUGCUCGGAAUCACUGGGCGUAAAGGGUGCGUAGGCGGGUCUUUAAGUCAGGGGUGAAAUCCUGGAGCUCAACUCCAGAACUGCCUUUGAUACUGAGGAUCUUGAGUUCGGGAGAGGUGAGUGGAACUGCGAGUGUAGAGGUGAAAUUCGUAGAUAUUCGCAAGAACACCAGUGGCGAAGGCGGCAUCCUGGACCAAUACUGACACUGAGGAGCGAAAGCCAGGGGAGCAAACGGG
This 253-nucleotide ribosomal RNA is filed under the name uncultured bacterium. RNAcentral describes it as "partial 16S ribosomal RNA". It matches the Rfam family "Bacterial small subunit ribosomal RNA", at positions 524 to 776 of the family's 1533-position model. The record is from RNAcentral.